This 433-nucleotide ribosomal RNA is filed under the name uncultured bacterium. RNAcentral describes it as "partial 16S ribosomal RNA". It matches the Rfam family "Bacterial small subunit ribosomal RNA", at positions 29 to 507 of the family's 1533-position model. The record is from RNAcentral.
AACGAACGCUGGCGGCAUGCCUAACACAUGCAAGUCGAACGAGACCUCCGGGUCUAGUGGCGCACGGGUGCGUAACGCGUGGGAACCUGCCCUUAGGUUCGGAAUAACUCCCCGAAAGGGGUGCUAAUACCGGAUAAUGUCUUCGGACCAAAGAUUUAUCGCCUUUGGAUGGGCCCGCGUUGGAUUAGCUAGUUGGUAGGGUAAAAGCCUACCAAGGCGACGAUCCAUAGCUGGUCUGAGAGGAUGAUCAGCCACACUGGGACUGAGACACGACCCAGACUCCUACGGGAGGCAGCAGUGGGGAAUAUUGGACAAUGGGCGAAAGCCUGAUCCAGCAAUGCCGCGUGAGUGAUGAAGGCCUUAGGGUUGUAAAGCUCUUUUACCCGGGAUGAUAAUGACAGUACCGGGAGAAUAAGCUCCGGCUAACUCCGUG